Melopsittacus undulatus (budgerigar) is the source of this 961-nucleotide long non-coding RNA. RefSeq lists it as uncharacterized. The transcript has 4 exons. NCBI's taxonomy places the organism in Eukaryota, Metazoa, Chordata, Aves, Psittaciformes, Psittaculidae. The record is from RefSeq and is a predicted model, not a curated record.
UGUUCCCUUUCUGUGCAGUCAUCAGAACUGUCUGCUUUUAAUAAAGGCUUGUGGGACUCUGGCAAACAUGACUCCAUCUGUCUGCUCCACUUCAAGGCUGUCAGUGUUCAUCUGAGGCUGCUUCUCUUGCAGGCAGUGUCUCUCUCUGCUAGCUGUCCUUACAAGGCUUCUUCAGAUGAAACCCAGUCAGCAACACGAAAGCCAGCAGAAGCAUUCACUGUCCAGUUACCUCCAUCAACAAGAGCACUACUUAGGAUCCAGACAUUUAAUAUUCUAACCACUACUUCAAAAUGCAUUGAGAUACUCAAAUUACUUCUACUAUUAAAAGAUGGGUGCAACGAAGAGAUGAUACUACAUCUUCUGAUGAGGACUGAACAACUGAGGCCAAAGUGAAUGUCACAUACUAACGGCAUAACAAAUACUCAGAGAUUAAACUACAGAGUCUACUGCAUACGCAAACAGGUAUUUCAUGUGGGCAAGAAAUUCCAGUGCCUGAGGACCAGUCAUCUAUAUAGUUUCACAGAAAGGAUGUACUCCAACAUCUCUCUAAUAUUCCAAGUACGUAUCAAGACUUACACACUGAAGAGCAACUAGUAUCUGUAUCAAAACCUCCUAAGCAUUAAUGAACUGAGACAAACACUGCAGAAAACACAUCUUGAAGGCACAAAAGUGGAAAUGAGGCACAGAAAGCUGGUCUUACUGGAGACAUGUAAUAUGGAGUUCCAACAAAUGUUUUGGCAAAGCUGGUGUCAUGGUGCAAUAUUCUUGCCAGCCCAAAAUCUCCAAGUUUCACGUUCUGCUUGCUAUCUAGAAAGACAUUUGCUGGUUUUAGGUCGCGAUGCACAGUGACUGCACCAUCACUCCGCCUGUGACAUUCCUUCAAGGCCAGUGUCAGUUGAGUCAGUACUCUGAGAACAAAGCUUUCUUCCAAGUAAUGCCUGAAAGAUGAUCACAUUGUUUA